AUAAGCAUUUAAAUAUGGUACUAAGCAUUUGAGAGAGAAUAUUUAGUUAAAACACAAAGAAAUGCUACAUGCGAAAUCCUUUAAUUCAACUUACUAUGCAGAGAUUGUUCAUCAAUUAGUCCGUACUUAUAUGCAUAGCAGUACUUAUAUGCAUGUCAGUAGGCAUAUCUUUAGCCCUGAUUAACUCACCUGGUUUAGCCAAUGUGUCUCCAUAAUCUAUUUUUCACCUGGUUUGGGAACCACAUUCUUGUAGUGACAUAGGUUCAGAGAUUUUCUACAAUAUAACCCUAGAACUAAAAUGCCACGUGUAAGUCUUGAAACCCAGGUACCAUACCUCAAUUUUUAUCUGGCUUGUAAUUUUCACAAAUUUUUUAGAGUUUUGAUACAGUGCAUAGAGGACAGAAGUGGCAACAUGGAUAGGCUCCAUCAUCUAAUGUGGUCCUUGGCAACUUGCCACUCGCAAGGAUCACUAUGGACAACAACUAUGACAUGUGAAGGCAAGCAUUACAACUCUGGAGCUCUCCCUCUAUGUUCCUGUCUGCCGUGAGCUCCUACAAAUGGAUUUGUGUGAUUACUUAAUUCAAUGCAUUUAGGUGGACCUCAUGAACAAAUAUGGCGGAUCCUUUUUUGCUGGAGGCAAUUCAGGUUAUGGCCAUUCUGGCUGAUCAUCAUGGAUGGUGAGUGUUUAUUUUUCACUUUUUUUGCAGUUCAACUCCCUGGUAUUUGGAGUUCUUUGUUGACAGAGGAGGGGAAUUUCUUUUGUUUCUUUGUUUUUGUUAAUCUGUUUCCUAAUUGGACCACUGCAUACCUACGCCAAUAUAGCUCGUUGAUCAUAUUUUAGGUUGAACGAAUAAGCUGUAUUGUUGUGUUUGGUAUAGCCGUUGAACCAGGAGUGGAUUGUAGCGUUUCAGUGCUUAAUUAUAGCUUGAAAUGUAUGGCUCCAUAAAGUAUCUCCUAAUUGAUUAUGUCAUGUUUUUUAUUUGAAUAAUUUGAUUGGUGAAAUGCCCUGUCCAAGAUCAUAAUCAGAACUAGUAUCACUGUAUCUUUUCCGGGUGGGUUCCUGGGGUGGAAAUGGGUUGGUGUGCCACAUGAAUGCCAAAGUAUUCUAAGCAUGUCUAGUUAUUAUCUUUUCCUUUUUAGAUUGGAGUUUCAAAACAGGGGACCAAGCAAGCAAAAACUAUGUGUUCCAUUUUUUUUAACACAAUCGGAUGCAGUUUUUUUCCCCCAAACACAGGACACACACGAUUGUGGGUUCCACAUGUUGAUGCACACUCAACAUUAGGAACAGACGUCAGUGUGCAACAUCCAAGAAAAGGACAUUUUCAACAUUCGGAAGAUCCUGAUGCAUAUGUGGCUUAAUUUUGAAGAAAAUGACACAGUGGGAAAGCAUCCAGAAUUUAGCAUAGGCUCUACAAUGGACUCAAAUCAGGUUAUACAACAAUGGGUUCUACAUCAGCAUGUCUGUCCGGAUUCUCAAUAUACACAGUUUAGUUUUUGUAAUUGAAGAUUUGCUAUUUUUGCAUAAUGGGGAUAUGUUUUUCCCAGUGGAUCUUGUUGCUAGAAGCUAGGAACAAUGUUGCACUGGAUUGCGGCAUAAAAGAUUGGGAUUCAAUCUAUGUGUCACUGUUGGUGUUUCUUAUGCUCAAUGGAAUAUGGAUUCUGCAAGCACACAGAAUCACCGCUGUAGCACUUCACCUUGGAGUAUUCCAGGGUAUCGUAAUUUCC
Molecule: long non-coding RNA, 1725 nt
Organism: Panicum virgatum (switchgrass)
Lineage: Eukaryota; Viridiplantae; Streptophyta; Magnoliopsida; Poales; Poaceae
Exons: 3
Source: RefSeq, a predicted model, not a curated record